Molecule: ribosomal RNA, 253 nt
Filed under: uncultured bacterium
Lineage: Bacteria
Description: partial 16S ribosomal RNA
Rfam family: Bacterial small subunit ribosomal RNA
Source: RNAcentral
GACAGAGGGUGCAACCGUUGUUCGGAAUUACUGGGCGUAAAGCGCGUGUAGGCUGCUUCGAAAGUCGGAUGUGAAAGCCCUGGGCUCAACCUAGGAAGUGCAUUCGAAACUUCGAAGCUUGAGUUCUGGAGAGGAAGGCGGAAUUCUCGGUGUAGAGGUGAAAUUCGUAGAUAUCGAGAGGAACACUGGUGGCGAAGGCGGCCUUCUGGACAGUGACUGACGCUGAGACGCGAAAGCGUGGGGAGCAAACAGG